This 164-nucleotide ribosomal RNA is filed under the name Solanum melongena (eggplant). Its description in RNAcentral is "5.8S ribosomal RNA". It matches the Rfam family "5.8S ribosomal RNA". Rfam says of the family: 5.8S ribosomal RNA (5.8S rRNA) is a component of the large subunit of the eukaryotic ribosome. It is transcribed by RNA polymerase I as part of the 45S precursor that also contains 18S and 28S rRNA. Lineage: Eukaryota; Viridiplantae; Streptophyta; Magnoliopsida; Solanales; Solanaceae. The record is from RNAcentral.
AAAACAACUCUCAUCAAUGGAUAUCUCANCUCUUGCAUCANUGAAGAACGNAGNGAAAUGCNAUACUUGGUGUGAAUUGNAGAAUCCCNUGAACCAUCGAGUCUUUGAACGCAAGUUGCGCCCGAAGCCGUCAGGCCGAGGGCACGUCUGCCUGGGCGUCACGC